RNAcentral lists this long non-coding RNA (5192 nucleotides) under Sus scrofa (pig). RNAcentral's name for it is "lncRNA (ENSSSCG00040057386.1)". Lineage: Eukaryota; Metazoa; Chordata; Mammalia; Artiodactyla; Suidae. The record is from RNAcentral.
AAGAUUGAGCUUUUCCUUGGCCAUCUUACGAUAUCUGUACCUUCCUGUUCCCAUCUCAGGGCCUGGCAGAGAAUAGGUGUUUAACAGCAUAUAAUGGACAAUGCAGUUACUGGAAGUCUGAAUACAGACGGAAGUUCUGGUUUAGUCCUGACUAGUUCUUUGACCCACAACCUAAACUAAUAGAUGUGUGCAUGUGUUCCAUGUGGUGGAGGAAGCAAGGCCAUCUGUUGCUUCUCCGCAGCCCUACCACCCCAUCCUGGAAAAUCCCUGUCACUGCCCUCAAGGUAAUAGGUUGAUGAUACAGUGGUCACUAAGCAAAGCCACUGAAGCAGCCUUCAAGCAAACCCAACAAUCAGGAAAACAGCUAAAAGCUGGCAUUGUCUCAUGGGUUUUAUCUUGUUCUAUUCAUCUCAGGUCUCCAAAAUUUAGAAGCUGGCUGCCACUUGCUGAACGUCAAUUUUCUCAGCAGUAAAGUGAGGACAAUGACAGCUACUUCAGAGACUGUUUGAGAACUCACAUGGGAGCAAUGCAUAUAGAAAGCCAAAGCACAGGCCACACAGCCAUAACACAACCUUUAUGUGUGGUCUCUGCAGCCACUGCAAUGGUUAUCAUGCCAAUAGCCUAUGAUUCCAUCAUGAGAAACACGCAGGACAUAAGCGAUUGCCACUUAGACAUCUCUGCCCCAAGGAGAGGCCAUUUCUUCCUAUUCUUUGUUUCCCACCUUUGAGCCAUGGUGCCUAGGUGACCAUGUCACUAGAGACACAGGGGAUACAGAGAAGGUGGAUCCCAGGGCACUUUGGCCUGUUUCUCAGGAUGCUGAGUCACAGACUGUCCCCCUGGAUUUCAGGCUGAGAGACAAGGAACCCUUAAACCUGGGGUUUUCGUGUCUCUCUCUAUCCUUUAAUCCAACAGAACCAGGGAGGCAUUAAGUGGGUCAGGCAUCUACAGUAAAGGUGAGGAAAGAAAGAUGGGAGGUGACUCAUGUUCAGAAGAUGUGAUGCUGCCCACUGUGAAGGUCCCAGCUGACCCCUGCAGUGUGCCCUCUGCACAGACCUUGCAAAGCUUGCACGUGGGGUGCCUGCCAGUCAUCUUCGGUUCCCUGGUUCCGUCGUGGGGCCUCUGAGGACUCCGCCUAACCAUGCUUUCAGUCCCUGCCACUUUAAAUCAAGGAUUUGAAAGGUAGCUUCUAGGAGUUUUUUGCAUCUUUGGGAAUGGAAAUGACAUUGAGGUAGACCUCAAAGAUUUCUUCCAUUUCCAGUGUGGUGACAUGGUUGGCGAAUUGCCUGCAUGUGAAAACAUGCAGUGGGUGGAAUAAUACGGGGUCAACUAGGGCCAUUAAUGGAUCCAAGCAAAGGGCUGGGGCAUCUUCGGUUCCGUCACAGGGCAGUGAAGGCAGGGAAAGGUGGAAGCAAAUACUGAACCACAGCCUCUAGUUCAUGGGCCCUUGCACAACUCAGAUCUCAGCCAAGGCCCUGGAGUGAUCAUGGAAUCUCAUUGGAGGAGCAAGAUCCUAAAAAAAGUCGUCUCCCCAGUUGCCACUGAAGGCUGAAAGCUACCCUGCCCACCUUCCUCACCUGGUGGCUUCCAGGCUCUGAUCGCCUCCAGGUCUGCAACUCUACUCUCAAAGUAUCAGGAAGGGAGUCUGUGCUGAUCCCUCUGACAGCAGGUCCCAGGUCACCUCCCCAAAUAAGCCUGCUGGUCCACCUUCCAGGUCACUGUCUACUACGUUCCCCUAGACUGUCUUUGCAGAGCCAUACUGGGGGCUGUACUACACAUGGGGGUGACCCGCUAUGACGUCAUGGAGCUUAUUCACUGCCUUGCACAGGCAGAGCUGGAGAACUUCUUUAGCUAACCUGCGGAAAAUGGAUUUGGAGGAAAGUGAAAACUUUGCUACUUCCACAACCUUCAGCUCAUGGAGGAGUGGAAAGUUGCUGCUCAGAAUCCUGUGAGGGUACAUAGUGACAACAGAGACACUGCCAACUACGAAGAUGGCAACUCUACACAUAACGGCAGCACUGACGGCAUGAAGGACCAGUGAACCAGUGUCCUUCCCAGCAGGAUAAAGAAGGGACACACUUUAAGCUAGUUGAAGGCAGUUUCCUAAUCUAUGGGGGGAAAUGAGUCAAAUAUCACUCUGACUUUUUCACACUGGAUGAAGAGGGAAUGGCCCCUUUGUUAGGAGUAGAAGAUUUGGGGAGGAGAUGAACUGAGUCUUAUAAAUGCACUUUCUUCCCUUUGGCUGGCAGGUCCAUGACUCAGGGAGAGAUGGGGGCUGGAGACAUGGGUUUAGGAGUUAUCUGUAGAGUCCUGUGGUUGAGGUCUUGGAAAUUAAGGAAAUUGCCGCAACAGAGAGACAGGAGUUGAAUGGAGCAGGGGAGGAGUCCUGGAGAUCAAGGCAGUGCAGAAAUGGUCAAAACAGUCAAAGCAGGGAGUUCCUGUUGUGGCUCGAUGGUAAUGAACCCAACUAGCAUCCAUGAGGAUGCAGAUUCAAUUCCUGGCCUUGCUCAGUGGGUUUAGGAUCCGGCAUUGCCGUUAGCUGUGGUGUAGGUCACAAAUGCAGCUCGGAUCUGGCAGUUGCUGUGGCUGUGGUGUAGGCCAGCAGCUGCAGCUCCAAUUCGACCCCUAGCCUGGGAACCUCCAUGUGCUGCAAGCACUGGCCCUAAAAAGCAAAAAACAAAACAAAACAGUCAAAGCAGGCAUACUGGGAGAUCCAUGUUAAGAGAGGGGAGUUUGAGAUGUGAGGUAGCCCCUGCCAAGGGGGAUUAAAGAUGAGGAAAAGGAUGGAGUUCCCUGGUGGCUCAGGGGGUAAGGAUCCAGCUUUGUCCCUGGUAUGGCUUGGGCUUAAUCCCUGGCCUGAAAAGGCUGAGAACACCUUGGGAUUAUUGGUUGGAGACAUUGCCUCUAUGCAAAUCCCAUUUGCUGCUGUCAAUAGAGAGUCUGUCCCAAAGAGGCCAUUUCUGAGAAACAGAUUCAAGAUACAAACAACAUUUCUUUCUGUAGAAUUGGUUCAUAGAAACAGAACAUUGGUCUCCUUUGCAGGUGACAAUUUAGGACCAAUAUUUAUUCUUUGCAAUGUUUGUUCUCUAUUUCUUGGGACAGAAAAACAUGCUGCUAACAUCAACAGCCUAAAAAAAAAUUAAAAAGCCUUGUUCCACUGGGAGUCAAUCUUUUAAAAAAUUCUUAACAUCUGUAUGGAGUCUAUCUAUGCCCAUAUGCAUGGCGAGAGAUAUCAGAUUAUGUCUGAGAGAUGCAGAUAGAAUUUAAUGCUCAUUUAUUUCAGUUUCGCCUGUUUCCAGACUGCUUCACAAGUGCACUGUUUCAAGAGAUGAGAAUUCAAUUAGUCUGUUCUGACUCUCACAUAGACAAUGUCCAGCUCAAGCUAAGACAUAUCAAAUAUUUAUUCACUCCCAGGAUUUCAAUAAUCCAGCCUCCGCCCUCCUCCUCCUGCUGGCCUCAUCUGGCCGGCACUGUGCUUCAACCUGGGCAAAGAGUGCGGAUCACCGGAAUCAAAGCUGAUGUCAAUACAUCUGUAUGUUUGUACAAGAUGUGGAACAACCUUGCCAAACGGAAGCGAUGGUUUAUAAGUGUUAGACGUGGGAUUUGAGAGGAAAAAUCUUGUUGUACUUCAUGAAUGGAUUUGCCUUUUUUUAAAUGUUUUUCUUUAUAGGGCCACACCUGUGGCAUAUGGAAGAUCCCAGGCUAGGGGUCGAAUCAGAGCCACAGCGGAAGACUAUGCCACAGCCACAGCCACACCAGAUCUGAGCCACAUCUGCGACCUACACCACAGCUUCCAGCCAGAGAUCGAACCUGCAUCCUCACACCCACCAUGUCAGGUUCUUAACCUGCUGGGCCAAAAUGAGAACUUCUGGAUUUGCCUUUUAAUCUCUGACCUUUGGCUUUGGGAUGAACAAUGAUGCUUGUGACCGAAACGUUGGGGUGAGCUUAGAGGGAUGAGCUCUCACUCCCACCCCAUCCUCAGCAUCAAGGAGGCCAGGCAGUACUGGAAGGGACCCAGGAAAAGAGUGACAUUUUCAGGGAGGAAGGUUAUUCACAGAGCCUGGUGCAGUGCUCAGGAGAAGCUGCACGCAUCUCUAACUUGGCCAUGUCAUUAAUUCACACCAUCCUUCUUAUUCCUACUCAACCAGGGUUCUGAACUUCAGCCCUAUGAACAUUUGGAGCCAGGUAUGUCUUUGUGGUGGGGGACUUCCCUGUCCACUAUAGGAUGUUUCGAAGCAUCCCUGGCUAGAUGCUAAUAGCACCCUCCUUAUUGCAACAACCAAAAAUGUCUCCAGAUAGUGUCAAAUACCCCCUGGGCAGGGGCAAAAUGGCCCUUGGUUGAGAGGCAUGGCACUAAAUAAUCCACGGGACCAAGGCUGGCUUUGAACAACUCACACCUGAAGUCAGUAGUGCUAGAGGCUUUCAGCAUCUGUUUUCUCACUCUGGUGUCUCCCCAUCUCUUCCCACCCCUUAGGAGACCCCAAGCAUGGUUCAACCAUCUACCCAACCGAUCUUAGCUUCUGCCACUACAGACUGGGCAGCAUUUCCUCAUUUCAGAUGGUUUGAUGGCUCUAGAGUCUAGGAUCAGAAAAGGCUACCUUCCCCGCUGACAAUUUUAAUGCGAUAUCUAACAUCUCAUUGGACAGCUCCAAGGCUGAACCCUUUUCCUGCCACCCACCUGCACCCCUGCCUGGAGAUAAGGGUGUUUAAGGGGAAACCUUUCCUGUGCCAGGCAUGUCCACUGGAUCCUUGUUUGAGCUGAUACCCUUUGUCCAUCUGCUCAGCUUCAAAACCACAGAUCUGUUGGGUGAGAGGGAUUCAAGGAAAACACAGCAAAGGGUGAAGCCUCCGUGUCUUAGUAGGUGGAAGAAGAGCCUCCAGGGAUGAUUUACUUACCCACCUGCUGUAAAUAAAGGCAGAGCUGUGAUCACAGGAGAUAUGAAAUGCUUCGCCUCAGGGGAUCUGCAAGGUCCAGAGCCUCUGGUAGUACAGCUCCCUGGAGCAGAAACUUCCUCUGUGAACUCAGCACCUACUGAUGCAGGCAGGACUACCCAUCACUUAUUCCAUCUCUAAGUCUCUAUUUCUCAUCUAGUAAAAAGUGAUUUCUGAGAAAGCUGAACUUUGCUGAUUCUACUUCUAAAAUGUCUCUUCCAUCCCUACAAUACCUGAUGUAGUUCAGCCUUCAGCUUCAUUAG